AUAAGUUUAUUCCAUACAAAGUGUGGGAUGACUUUCUUCUCCAAAUUCCUUUAUCUUCUACCAAGAGGUAGAAAUCCCAAUUACAGAAAUCAAAUAAAAUAAAAAUAAACUCCUACAAAAAAUAACUAGAAAA
Long non-coding RNA from Zophobas morio, 133 nucleotides. RefSeq lists it as uncharacterized. NCBI's taxonomy places the organism in Eukaryota, Metazoa, Arthropoda, Insecta, Coleoptera, Tenebrionidae. The transcript is spliced from 2 exons. The record is from RefSeq and is a predicted model, not a curated record.